This 253-nucleotide ribosomal RNA is filed under the name uncultured bacterium. RNAcentral describes it as "partial 16S ribosomal RNA". It matches the Rfam family "Bacterial small subunit ribosomal RNA", at positions 524 to 776 of the family's 1533-position model. The record is from RNAcentral.
AACGUAGGUGGCGAGCGUUAUCCGGAUUUACUGGGCGUAAAGCGUGUGCAGGCGGUCGAACAAGUGGUGUAUGAAAUAUCCAGGCUCAACCUGGAGGGGUUAUGCCAGACUGUUCGGCUAGAGGGCGAGAGAGGGGCGUGGAAUUCCGGGUGUAGUGGUGAAAUGCGUAGAGAUCCGGAGGAACCCCAGAGGCGAAGGCGGCGCCCUGGCUCGCCACUGACGCUCAGACACGACAGCAUGGGGAGCGAACGGG